AUCCAGCUAGUGACGAGUCCGAAAAUAGGACGAAACACGCUUCCUGGAU
This is a non-coding RNA of Schistosoma rodhaini, 49 nucleotides long. The record is from Rfam. Lineage: Eukaryota; Metazoa; Platyhelminthes; Trematoda; Strigeidida; Schistosomatidae.